RNAcentral lists this long non-coding RNA (537 nucleotides) under Canis lupus familiaris (dog). RNAcentral describes it as "lncRNA (ENSCAFG00030011668.1)". The record is from RNAcentral. Lineage: Eukaryota; Metazoa; Chordata; Mammalia; Carnivora; Canidae.
GGCCGCAGAACCAGGACCUAGGCUGCAGAACCGGGACCUAGGCCGCAGAACCGGGACCUAGGCCGCAGAACCGGGAGCUGGGCCGCGGAACCGGGAGCUGGGCCGCAGAACCAGGACCUAGGCCGCGGAACCGGGAGCUGGGCCGCGGAACCAGGAGCGGGGCCACAGAACCAGGACCUAGGCUGCAGAACCGGGAGCUGGGCCGCAGAACCGGGUCUCAGCAGUUCCUUUUUGGAGAACUGGGACUGGGACUUAGGAGCUGGAGGGAGACAAGAUGUCUCUGAAGAUGCAGAGUGAGGAAAAACGGAUUCGAUUUAUCCAGAAGCCAUCCGUGGUCUGAGGCGGCUACUGUUGGGCUGAGGCCGAACACAUACACCCAGGACGCCCAGUGAUUAGAGCUCUAGAGCACAGGUGAGCAAGAAUUGGUGUCUUCUUUCCCUUAAAAAUAAAAAUAGUAAUAAUAAUAAAAAGAUUUAUUUCUUUAUUUGAGAGAGAGCGAGCAUGAGUGGGGUGCUGGGAAGGAGGCAACAAGGAGGC